CUGGAUUUUCCAAAGUCAGUAGAUUGGAUAAAGCAGCAUCUCAUUCACUGAGGUCACAAGAUAGUGGCCUCUGAGGAAAGAUGGUCUCUCCUUUUCUCAUGGAAAUGCCCGUCACUGGUCAACUCUCAACUUAGAACCAGAGACAGAAGGAGUUUGUGGGAAGUGUGGUUUCUGGUCUACCUGCACUGCAGAGGACAUUCUAGAAAGAGAAGUGAGUUGACAGUCUAGCAUAAUUGUGAAACAAACACUGAGAUGUACAGUUCAAACCACGUGAAGUGGAAGCCUCAGAAUUCUCCUCACUGUCAUUAAAGAUUCUUUGAUGGAAAAAUUUAGAAGCAUUGGCUCUAGAUGACUACCAGAAAAUUGCUAGUUUUCUAAAGCGAAACUACUGAUUUGAGUGAUGAUCUGUGUGUAAUGGCUCCAAAAAGGAGCCGUUCUCUUGGUGGCAGCAGUUGGAUUCAGAGCUUGGGCAUCCUGAUCAUCAGGACAGACAUUUACAGGAUAUGUAUAGAAUUACUGCCCCAAAUAGAGGGCAAAGCACUAGACAGAAGGGUGAGAUCCAAGGGGAAUUUGGAAUCUAUAUUUCAUCAGAAUGCACUCAAAGCAAAAACAUUUUUCACCCCAAUCAUCUUGAUGCAGAGAGGCUUCAGAAACACAAGUGACUCUGUGUUCAGACCAAGUACUUGGCCUCGAGAAGAUGAAUGAUCAGACCAACUCACCAUAUGAUUAUAAGGGUCAGGUAGUUUAAAAAGAAAUUACAAUCUGAAUUGAACCAUGGAUGAACAGUGUUGCUAUUGAGCUUCGAAUCCCAGCUAAUAAGCAUAACCUUGUAAAGAGAGGUUACUGUUUGGGAAACUGCAUGUUCUUGCAGGAGGGCAAAGCUUUUGCAAUAUAAAUAGUUGUAAGGGUACUAGCUUUCAUCUUUAAUACCUUAACCCUCUGUGUUUAGAGUUUUUGUAUCCAGGGCUGAAUUGAGAAUUUUAGAAACCUUGAACACUGAAGAGAUUGUAAUAACAACCCCAUGUGUAAUUUAUAAAAUCUUCAAAAGAACAUUUACUUUUUCAAAAUGUUAUAAAACUCUGAAUAC
Pan troglodytes (chimpanzee) is the source of this 1087-nucleotide long non-coding RNA. RefSeq lists it as uncharacterized. The transcript is spliced from 4 exons. NCBI's taxonomy places the organism in Eukaryota, Metazoa, Chordata, Mammalia, Primates, Hominidae. The record is from RefSeq and is a predicted model, not a curated record.